RNA transcript from Scomber scombrus (Atlantic mackerel), 2066 nucleotides. RefSeq lists it as uncharacterized. Lineage: Eukaryota; Metazoa; Chordata; Actinopteri; Scombriformes; Scombridae. The transcript has 9 exons. The record is from RefSeq and is a predicted model, not a curated record.
GUGAUGUAGUAUGCAGUAUUACAGUAAAAGUACUGCAGUAUUAUGAGUGAUGUAGUAUGCAGUAUUACAGUAAAAGUACUGCAGUAUUAUAGUGAUGUAGUAUGCAGUAUUACAGUAAAAUAUUGCAGGAAGGAGAGUGGGCCGGAUUGGACUCCUCGGCGGGCCGGUUCUGGUCCGCGGGCCGCAUGUUUGACCCUUCUGCCGUAUAGGUUAAAUAUCUCUCUAACGACGCUACGCUUUUUGGAUUGAGCCACUUGGCGCUCCGUACUGAGGAAGCGGUGAUGUAAACACAAGGUUUUAUAACAUGUUUUAGUUCUACAGGUUUGUUUCAUAAUGAAGUUACACAAGCUGCGUGUGAUCAGCUGAGAGGAAGAUGAUGAAGGCUCAGGUGCGGUGUGCAGUGACUGAGGCUCUGUGGGCCAUGUGUGCAGCUGACUCUGUCUCCAUGCCGGCUCACUGGUAUUACAACACUGAUGACAUCAUGAGAGACUUCAGAGGCUGGAUCAGAGGCUUCAACCCCCCCCCGAAUAUUCACCCUACAAGCAUCCUCAGCCUGUCCAACACCGCGGGCAGCGGUCGGACAGCCUGGUCGACGUCGGCGAGACGAACCGAAGUCGUUGGAAACGUGAUUCUACACGAUAAACUUCACCUGUGGAAAUCACCCAGAGGAUCCGUCCAUUAUCACCAAGGUCUGCAGGCAGGUGAUAACACCCUGAACGUGCUCUGUGCUCUCAGAGCAGCGAGGACGCUGGCGGCCAGCGGCUUCGACGACGUGUCGCAGCCGGAGGCUCGAGCCGCCGUGCUGACGGACUACGUUCAGUUCCUGACGACGCCCGGCACGCACCGCGACACCUACGCCGAGUCCAACCACCGCUCCUUCUUCUCCGACUGGCAGGAAGAGAAACCCACGACGGGCCGGGAGGUUCUCAUGUUUGCAGAGAGACGUUCCAAGCGCAUGUUGGGUUCUAAGUUCUCCGACAGCCAGCUGGACGCCAUCGGCUGCCUUUCCAUGAUCCUCCCCUUCGUCCUCCUGUCGGCGUCGGCCAAUGAGGAGCGAGCUGUGUCUGCGGCCGUAGAGUGGGUGAAGCUGACACACCCCCACCCGCGGGUGCCUGAGUACGUCUCCAUCUACAGCCGGGCGCUGCACGCCGUGCUGGGCGGUGCCGGCGUCCGGCAGCAGGCCGAACACGCUCUGAGGAAGCUGGGCACCUGGGACACCUGCCAGAGCUACAGCCGCAAGGCCGCCAGGUUGCCCGAAGCAUCAGAGCAGCGACUCCGAGUCCAUCAGAGCGCCGUGAACUACCUCGGCCUCGCCUGCUACACUAAAGGUCUGAUCAGGGUCCAUAUGGGUCCUCCAGGGGUUAGAUGGGGCUAUGUGGGUCACGAGCGGGCUUGAUUGGGCAAAUCUUUCAAGUCCCACAUGGUUUCAGUAACAUGGGCCCCAUUUAAGGUCCAUUCUGAUCCCACUUAGACCCCAUGUGGGCAAACAUAUGGGUCCUACAUGAGUCUCACCCAGUUGGGCUCCACCUGAAACCCAAUCAGAACCCACUUGAAGCCCAUAUGGGCAAACACAGGUGGGGUCACCAUGGAAACUGCACACAAACCCACUUGGGGCCCAUAUUACAGCCCAAAUUUAGGCCUUACGGACCCACAUGGACAUGCUGGCUUUUUUUGGCUUCUUCUUUUUACGAUGACGUUUACAAUGUUUACUAUGUUUUUUACGUUGAUUUGUACGAUGAUUUUUACAUUGAUGUUUACAAUGAUUUUUACGAUGAUGUUUACAAUGAUUUUUACGUGGUGAUGUUUACGUUGAUGUUUACGUUGAUGUUUACGAUGAUGUUUACGAUGACGUUUACGAUGAUGUUUACGAUGACGUUUACGAUGAUGUUUACGAUGACGUUUACAAUGAUGUUUACGAUGAUUUUUACGUGGUGAUGUUUGUGGCCCAACAGGAGCUCUCUCCAGUUUGUUCUACUUGGCUCACGAGUUUCAUGACGACGUGACAGCAGGAAUCCUGACGAACACUAACUGUGGAGGGGAGAACUGUAACCGCGGCGCUGCGCUCG